Molecule: long non-coding RNA, 551 nt
Organism: Lycium ferocissimum
Lineage: Eukaryota; Viridiplantae; Streptophyta; Magnoliopsida; Solanales; Solanaceae
Exons: 3
Source: RefSeq, a predicted model, not a curated record
ACUUCUUCAUCGCUACCUCUUUAUCUGCUGAUUUUGUAUAUCUCUAUCUGAAUUCUGAAUGAUAAAUCGGGAGGAAUUGCAGACGGAAAUUGUUCAGGGAUGGAAAAGAGGUUAAGAGACUCAGGAGAAGAUUAUCUACUUGUGCCUUUGAUAUUCUCACGCUGAAUUGGAAAAUAUCAGGUAGUUGAUAGACAGCUGCUAGGCGCUCUUUCCAUAGGUUUUCGACAAGAUUCACAAAAUUAAGAAUUAUUGAGGGAGUCGAUGGAAAAGAAGUAUACCAAAAGUACAGAUAAAUUUAAGAUGAUGAUCCACAUCUACAAAAAACCAGCCUUUGCGUUCAACUAAGGGUGCUUACGUUGAGCUUUAGAGAUUGUCUCUGUUUGCUAUAGAAACAUGCUUUGUUCUGAAGAGUUACUUGAUGCAUGGGACCAAAUACGAUAGUUCCUUAAGAAGUAAGGAGGAUACCCAUGCUGAAUUAAAUGCAGUUUUUGUCAGCUGUGGGUGAGAUGUGCUAGAUGAAAUAAUAGAUGCUAACUUCUUCGUCUCUGUGG